This 450-nucleotide ribosomal RNA is filed under the name uncultured Glomeromycotina. Its description in RNAcentral is "SSU rRNA". It matches the Rfam family "Eukaryotic small subunit ribosomal RNA", at positions 569 to 1024 of the family's 1831-position model. The record is from RNAcentral. Lineage: Eukaryota; Fungi; Glomeromycota.
AGCAGCCGCGGUAAUUCCAGCUCCAAUAGCGUAUAUUAAAGUUGCUGCAGUUAAAAAGCUCGUAGUUGAAUUUCGGGACCAUCAUGUCGGUCGUGCCUCGGUACGUACUGGUAUUGUUGGUUUCUCCCUUCUGACGAGCCAUGAUGUCAUUUAUUUGGUGUUGUGGGGAAUCAGGACUGUUACUUUGAAAAAAUUAGAGUGUUUAAAGCAGGCUCACGCUUGAAUACAUUAGCAUGGAAUAAUGAAAUAGGACGUUUGAUUCUAUUUUGUUGGUUUCUAGGAUCGACGUAAUGAUUGAUAGGGAUAGUUGGGGGCAUUAGUAUUCAAUUGUCAGAGGUGAAAUUCUUGGAUUUAUUGAAGACUAACUACUGCGAAAGCAUUUGCCAAGGAUGUUUUCAUUAAUCAAGAACGAAAGUUAGGGGAUCGAAGACGAUCAGAUACCGUCGUAGU